This 254-nucleotide ribosomal RNA is filed under the name uncultured bacterium. RNAcentral describes it as "partial 16S ribosomal RNA". It matches the Rfam family "Bacterial small subunit ribosomal RNA", at positions 524 to 776 of the family's 1533-position model. The record is from RNAcentral.
UACGUAGGGUGCAAGCGUUGUCCGGAAUUACUGGGCGUAAAGAGCUCGUAGGUGGUUUGUCGCGUUGUCCGUGAAAACUCACAACUCAAUUGUGGGCGUGCGGGCGAUACGGGCAGACUGGAGUACUGCAGGGGAGAGUGGAAUUCCCGGUGUGAGCGGUGAAAUGCGCAGAUAUCGGGAAGAACACCCGUGGCUAAGGCGGCUCUCUAGUACGGUACUGACGCUGAGACGCGAAAGCGUGGGGAGCGAACAGG